GUAACCUGGUUGAUCCUGCCAGUAGUCAUAUGCUUGUCUCAAAGAUUAAGCCAUGCAUGUUUCAGUAUAAGCUUUAAUUUGGCAAAACUGCAAAUGGCUCAUUAAAACAGUUAUAAUGCACUUGAUGGUUGUUUGCUUACAUGGAUAACUGUGGUAAUCCUAUAGCUAAUACAUGCACUCAAACCUGACUCUUG
This 194-nucleotide ribosomal RNA is filed under the name uncultured eukaryote. Its description in RNAcentral is "partial 18S ribosomal RNA". It matches the Rfam family "Eukaryotic small subunit ribosomal RNA", at positions 1 to 192 of the family's 1831-position model. The record is from RNAcentral.